GAUGAAGAACGUAGCAAAAUGCGAUAAGUAAUGUGAAUUGCAGAAUUCAGUGAAUCAUCGAAUCUUUGAACGCACAUUGCGCCCGCUGGUAUUCCGGCGGGCAUGCCUGUUCGAGCGUCAUUUCAACCCUCAAGCCCCCCGGGUUUGGUGUUGGGGAUCGGCUCUGCCUCACGGCGGUGCCGCCCCCGAAAUACAUUGGCGGUCUCGCUGCAGCCUCCAUUGCGUAGUAGCUAACACCUCGCAACUGGAACGCGGCGCGGCCAUGCCGUAAAACCCCAACUUCUGAAUGUUGACCUCGGAUCAGGUAGGAAUACCCGCUGAACUUAAGCAUAUCAAUAAGCGGAGAA
Molecule: unclassified non-coding RNA, 347 nt
Filed under: soil metagenome
Description: partial contains 5.8S ribosomal RNA, internal transcribed spacer 2, and large subunit ribosomal RNA
Rfam family: 5.8S ribosomal RNA (bases 1-120)
Source: RNAcentral